This 47-nucleotide transfer RNA is filed under the name Nesillas lantzii (Subdesert brush-warbler). RNAcentral describes it as "partial tRNA-Met". The record is from RNAcentral. Lineage: Eukaryota; Metazoa; Chordata; Aves; Passeriformes; Sylviidae. RNAcentral also lists the same sequence under 1 other name.
AUCGGGCCCAUACCCCGAAAAUGAUGGUUUAACCCCUUCCCCUGCUA